Molecule: ribosomal RNA, 893 nt
Filed under: bacterium W15C2_F
Lineage: Bacteria
Description: bacterial SSU rRNA
Rfam family: Bacterial small subunit ribosomal RNA
Source: RNAcentral
UGCAAGUCGAGCGGACAGAUGGGAGCUUGCUCCCUGAUGUUAGCGGCGGACGGGUGAGUAACACGUGGGUAACCUGCCUGUAAGACUGGGAUAACUCCGGGAAACCGGGGCUAAUACCGGAUGGUUGUCUGAACCGCAUGGUUCAGACAUAAAAGGUGGCUUCGGCUACCACUUACAGAUGGACCCGCGGCGCAUUAGCUAGUUGGUGAGGUAACGGCUCACCAAGGCGACGAUGCGUAGCCGACCUGAGAGGGUGAUCGGCCACACUGGGACUGAGACACGGCCCAGACUCCUACGGGAGGCAGCAGUAGGGAAUCUUCCGCAAUGGACGAAAGUCUGACGGAGCAACGCCGCGUGAGUGAUGAAGGUUUUCGGAUCGUAAAGCUCUGUUGUUAGGGAAGAACAAGUGCCGUUCAAAUAGGGCGGCACCUUGACGGUACCUAACCAGAAAGCCACGGCUAACUACGUGCCAGCAGCCGCGGUAAUACGUAGGUGGCAAGCGUUGUCCGGAAUUAUUGGGCGUAAAGGGCUCGCAGGCGGUUUCUUAAGUCUGAUGUGAAAGCCCCCGGCUCAACCGGGGAGGGUCAUUGGAAACUGGGGAACUUGAGUGCAGAAGAGGAGAGUGGAAUUCCACGUGUAGCGGUGAAAUGCGUAGAGAUGUGGAGGAACACCAGUGGCGAAGGCGACUCUCUGGUCUGUAACUGACGCUGAGGAGCGAAAGCGUGGGGAGCGAACAGGAUUAGAUACCCUGGUAGUCCACGCCGUAAACGAUGAGUGCUAAGUGUUAGGGGGUUUCCGCCUCUUAGUGCUGCAGCUAACGCAUUAAGCACUCCGCCUGGGGAGUACGGUCGCAAGACUGAAACUCAAAGGAAUUGACGGGGGCCCGCACAAGC